This 416-nucleotide ribosomal RNA is filed under the name uncultured bacterium. RNAcentral's name for it is "bacterial SSU rRNA". It matches the Rfam family "Bacterial small subunit ribosomal RNA", at positions 355 to 787 of the family's 1533-position model. The record is from RNAcentral.
UGGGGAAUAUUGCGCAAUGGGCGAAAGCCUGACGCAGCGACGCCGCGUGGGGGAUGAAGGCCUUCGGGUUGUAAACCCCUUUCAGCAGGGACGAAAUUGACGGUACCUGCAGAAGAAGCCCCGGCCAACUACGUGCCAGCAGCCGCGGUAAUACGUAGGGGGCGAGCGUUGUCCGGAAUUAUUGGGCGUAAAGAGCUCGUAGGCGGUUCGGCAAGUCACGUGUGAAAUCUCCACGCUCAACGUGGAGGCGCCACGUGAGACUGCCGUGACUCGAGUCCGGUAGGGGAGCGUGGAAUUCCCGGUGUAGCGGUGAAAUGCGCAGAGAUCGGGAGGAACACCCGUAGCGAAGGCGGCGCUCUGGGCCGGUACUGACGCUGAGGAGCGAAAGCGUGGGGAGCAAACAGGAUUAGAUACCC